This is a small nuclear RNA of Rattus norvegicus (Norway rat), 54 nucleotides long. Ensembl annotates it as U7 small nuclear RNA. NCBI's taxonomy places the organism in Eukaryota, Metazoa, Chordata, Mammalia, Rodentia, Muridae. The record is from Ensembl.
AAUUUUUCAUAGCUCUUUUAGAAUUUUUCUAAUAGGGUUUCUCAGAAAUCCCAA